GUGCCAGCCGCCGCGGUAAUACGGAAGGUCCGAGCGUUAUCCGGAUUUAUUGGGUUUAAAGGGAGCGCAGGCGGAAUGUUAAGUCAGCUGUGAAAUCCCGUCGCUCAACGGCGGAACUGCAGUUGAUACUGGCUUUCUUGAGUGCACAUAAGGAUGGUGGAAUUCGUGGUGUAGCGGUGAGAUGCUUAGAUAUCACGAAGAACUCCGAUUGCGAAGGCAGCCAUCUGGGGUGCAACUGACGCUGAGGCUCGAGAGUGCGGGUAUCAAACAGGAUUAGAUACCCUGGUAGUCCGCACAGUAAACGAUGAAUACUCGCUGUCGGCGAUAUACUGUCGGCGGCCAAGCGAAACAUUAAGUAUUCCACCUGGGGAGUACGCCGGCAACGGUGAAACUCAAAGGAAUUGACGGGGGCCCGCACAAGCGGAGGAACAUGUGGUUUAAUUCGAUGAUACGCGAGGAACCUUACCCGGGCUUGAACUGCACCCGACGGACAAAGAGAUUUGUCUUCGCAAGGCGGGUGUGGAGGUGCUGCAUGGUUGUCGUCAGCUCGUGCCGUGAGGUGUCGGCUUAAGUGCCAUAACGAGCGCAACCCUUCUCUUCAGUUGCCAUCAGGUAGAGCUGGGCACUCUGGAGACACUGCCAUCGUAAGAUGCGAGGAAGGUGGGGAUGACGUCAAAUCAGCACGGCCCUUACGUCCGGGGCUACACACGUGUUACAAUGGGAGGUACAGAAGGCCGCGACCCGGCGACGGGAAGCCAAUCCCCAAAUCCUCUCUCAGUUCGGACUGGAGUCUGCAACCCGACUCCACGAAGCUGGAUUCGCUAGUAAUCGCGCAUCAGCCAUGGCGCGGUGAAUACGUUCCCGGGCCUUGUACACACCGCCCGU
Molecule: ribosomal RNA, 885 nt
Filed under: uncultured rumen bacterium
Lineage: Bacteria
Description: bacterial SSU rRNA
Rfam family: Bacterial small subunit ribosomal RNA
Source: RNAcentral